Molecule: ribosomal RNA, 463 nt
Filed under: uncultured bacterium
Lineage: Bacteria
Description: partial 16S ribosomal RNA
Rfam family: Bacterial small subunit ribosomal RNA
Source: RNAcentral
GACGAACGCUGGCGGCGUGCUUAACACAUGCAAGUCGAACGGAAAGGCCUUUUCGGAGGUACUCGAGUGGCGAACGGGUGAGUAACACGUGGGUGAUCUGCCCUGCACUCUGGGAUAAGCCUGGGAAACUGGGUCUAAUACCGGAUAGGACCGCACUUUAGUGUGUGUGGUGGAAAGUUUUUUCGGUGUAGGAUGAGCCCGCGGCCUAUCAGCUUGUUGGUGGGGUAAUGGCCUACCAAGGCGGCGACGGGUAGCCGGACUGAGAGGUUGGUCGGCCACAUUGGGACUGAGAUACGGCCCAGACUCCUACGGGAGGCAGCAGUGGGGAAUAUUGCACAAUGGGCGCAAGCCUGGUGCAGCGACGCCGCGUGGGGGAUGACGGCCUUCGGGUUGUAAACUCCUUUCGCCAGGGACGAAGCGUUUUGUGACGGUACCUGGAGAAGAAGCACCGGCUAACUACGUG